Molecule: long non-coding RNA, 25402 nt
Filed under: Nicotiana tabacum (common tobacco)
Lineage: Eukaryota; Viridiplantae; Streptophyta; Magnoliopsida; Solanales; Solanaceae
Description: long non-coding RNA (NTAB_LNC000749)
Source: RNAcentral
UACCCUAUAUGAUCCGCCAUUUUUUCUGACUUGAGGGAAUACAACAACGGCUUCAGUCAUCUUCUUCAUCAAAAAAAUGCCGAAAAACCUUAGACAUUCAAGAGCAAAAUCGUCAACCACUCCCUCAACACCCAAUUCUCCAGACCUAGACACAAUACACAAGGAGACCUAAUUUCCCAAAAAUGAAAAAACAAUUCCUAAAGCUAAGUGAUAGCAGCAAGACCGCCUGAGCAACCUCACCUUCCAUGCCAUUCUUUUAGUUUCAUACUGUCCUUCUAUUCUCCUCUCACAAUAAUUAUUCUAUACAAUAUUUUUUGGAAUUUGUGUGACUUUCAAUUUUGAAGAAAAUCGUGAUCUAACCUGCUACGAAUCAGUGUUUGAAUAUCAGUGAAGAAGAUACAAAAUACUUUAGUUUUCCUCUCUGUUUUUAAUCCAAUUUCGUGAAGGAAAAAUCAGAACAAAAUAUGACUAUAAGCCGAAGUUUGAAGCUGGUUUGAGUUGUCGGCGUGAGGUUUGUUCGAGGUUCUGUCGCAUUCGUGUUCCCGUUGGCAUCUUUGGUCAUUGCUCAAUUUUUUCGGCUAGAUUCUCGUUUUGCUUUCCGAUUAAACAGAGAUGUAAAUCCAGAGUUCUAUUGAUCGGAGAUAAAUCCGCAAACUAAGGUCUGUUUCUUAUACCUAUCUCGUUACGCUAGUUGAUGAAUUGUGUUAAUUAUUUGCGGCUCUUCGAUCCUUUAUUUAGUCAAUUUCACAAUCUGUUUAAUAAGUAGUAACUACUACAUGCCUAUAGCAAAAUCUAAUUACCAAAAAGUAUUGGUUGGUUUAUAUGUAAUGCUAACAUGAUUAGGCGUAAAAUAAUAGAAGUAAAGGCAUCAAAUUCAAGUAGAAACGUGUUACUAAUUUUUAAAAGAUGCAAUAACUAACCAAACUUGCUAACAUCGCAAGCACAAGAGGACUCAUGCAUUAAGGUAAUAGGUAAAUUUUCAUGAUAAUUUGGAUACAUUCUUUAAGUCAUUAAAUGGGUAACUAAAAUAAGAAUGCAAAAUAUCUGUUAUCAAGAGAAUUAGUGUGUUGUUGGGGUAUAAUGAUGAAUCUCCAAAAAUGAGCAAACUUAAUUGAAGGGCAGGAACCAAUUGAUAGUCUUGUGAUACUUUUUCCUGUUGCUUUCAGAGUUGUCUUAUUUACUUAUAAAUCGCUAGUACCAUGUUUAGGCCGACCAUAGGGUGGGAAAACUUUUCAGCGCGUAAUAAAUUAUCGUGGCCAUGGGUACGGUUCCCGUGGCAUGGUCGCGAUACAUAAAUCUCAAUUCGGAUGUGCAUUUCAUAUGACCCGACCAUAAUCUUGAAUAAUAAUAAUAUAGAAAUAAACAUGUUGUAAAUUACGGGUACAUUUCAUAUGACGCGGUUCGCAAUAUGUACGACAAUCGUGAUUUGUUCCAUAAACAUUAAAGGCGGUUAGAAAGUUAAAAAAUGCACAAUGGGUAUGAAAUAAGUAAUUAAUCAGAUAAUUAGGUCAAUAAUAAUAGUUGAGCGACUGUGCUAGAACCACGAAACUCGGGAAUGCCUAACACCUUCUUCCGGGUUAACAGAAUUCCUUACCCGGAUUUUUAUAUUCGCAGACUGUAAAACAGAGUCAAUCUUUCCUCGAUUCGGGAUUUAACUGGUGACUUGGGACACCAUAAAUUAUCCCAAGUGGCGGCUCUGAUUUUUAAAUAAAAUAAUCCCGUUUCGAUUGUCACUUAAAUUGGAAAAAACUCCCUUAUAUAAUCCUUCCGGGGGUAGUAAAAAGGAGGUGUGACACCGAGGGGCUCAGGCGUGUUUCAGAUUGAUUUUGGAGCAUUUUGGAAAUUUUUGGCUAAGGCUUAUUGCUGCUGGUUCUGGUGGAGCCGCAGAAGCGAAGGUUGUUGGCGCACCUGCGCGUGUGUAGAGGCGGAAAAUAUCCGCAGGUGCGGAAGGGUCGGUCUCCAUGGGCUUCGCAGAUGCGAGAUUCCAUUCACAGAAGCGGAGGUCGCAAAUGCGACAUUUUAACCGCAAAUACGGAAUCGAUGGGCAGAAUGUUAUAAGUUCGAGGGUUGGUUAUUUUUAUCACAUAUUGAGCUAUGGACUUCGGAAUGGAGCGAUUUUUGGAGCAAAUUUCAUUGCAAGGAUUGGGGUAAGUAUUCGCUACUCGGGUUUGGUUAUAUUUCGUGAAUCUAUCUUCAAUUUUAGCUUUUGGUUGAUGAAUUUUAAAGAGGAGAUGGGGGCUUUUGGCUUAAAGUUUCAUAAUAUGAAUUUUUGAGUUUUCAACAUCGAAUUGGAGUCAAAAUUGAGUGAAACUAGUAUGGUUGGACUCGUAAUUGAAUGGGUUGUCGGAUUUUGUAAGUUUUGUCGAGUUCCAAGGUGCGGGCCCAGGUGUGAUUUUUGGCCGGAUUUGGGAUUUGAUUUAGGAUCUGAUUUUUAUUAUUUGGAAUUGUUUCCUUGGGCUUUAUUUGAUGUAUUUGAGUUUCUUUUGGCUAGUUAUUAGCCGUUCGGAGAUUGCUACGCGCGUGAUGGCAUUUUUGGAGCAUCACUUGGCUUGCUCGGUAUUGGAAUUUGGCUUGUUUGAGGUAAGUAACUCUUCUAACCUUAGUGCUGAGUGUAUGAAACCUCGAUGGGAGCUGGAUUUGAAGAUGUACCUGCAUUCCAAUUUAGCUACCUCUUGUUCAUGGUAGCCGUAGAUUUAUAAAAGCUCUGUUUAUGUACUUUUCAAACCGAAGAUGUAUUUACUUCAUAUCAGCUUUGUAAAUUCUAUACUUAGAAGCUCAUGAUUUGUACCACCAGUCCUUGAGAAAGUGUAUAAGAUUUGGAUAAUACUCUUGUUUAAAUUGCCUUAUUAAAUAUUAUGGGAAUUGGAUAGUAUAGUUAGCUUACUGAGCGGGUUGGGUUAGGUUCCAUCACGACUAGUGGAUUUUGGAUUGUGAUAGAUUGGUAUCAGAGCUCUAGGUUAAUAGGUUCUACAAGUCAUGAGCAAGUGUCUAGUAGAGUCUUGCGGAUCGGUAUNNNNNNNNNNNNNNNNNNNNNNNNNAUCGGUAUGAUGACGUCCAUACCUAUCUUCGAGAGGCUACAAGACAUUUAGGAUAUACUUCCCAUCUUUCUUUCCUUAUCGUGCGACAUUGAUUCAGCUUGAAGCGCAAUCCUUUGAAUUCCUUCCACGCAUUCGUAUGCACACAUGAGCACUCGGUAUCAGCUGUGCACCGACGGCUUGUGAUUUCAUGGAUGAGGCAUGAGAUGUUGAUUGUGUGAGCACGUGCUUUUGGAUUUAUAUGUCCGGUAGUGUCCUUAUUAGUGGAAUUUGUGGCUGGAUGACUGUGUGAUGAGUAUGAUAUGACUGAAGAGAUAUGUUCAUAUAGGUUGAAUGUGACAAGAAAUUUUUGCUUGAGGUGUAGAAAGGACUAUCGGGUGCUUGAUUUAUGUCUUGAUGUGACGUAUAGUCUCGAAUUAUGAGUGAAUUGAAGGAUCUUUCAUGUUGUUUAAUUGUGGAAUAAAUUAGAUUCUCAUGUCUUGUUGACGAGUUCAGAAUCAGGAAGAUUAAGUAAUUGUGUAGUAGUUAUGACUGUGGAAGGGUAUAGAAAGAUGUUAGUUCGAGGCUAAGCAGGUGGGUUAUCUCCUACGGGAUGUCUUGAGGUUGUGUGAUCCCUACUUUAUUUUGUUGAGAGUUCUCUUUACAAGUGAAUUAUAUAUAGUGCAAUUUGAGUUUGGAUCGCUUGUGAAAGUUGGCUUGAGUGUUACGAGGAUGAAUACGAGAUUUGCAAAUAAUUUGAGGUAUUAUAUGGUUUGUGUUACAUGAGCUUAGGAAGGAUUUAAAUGAAUCCGAUUGCGGUAUUAUGCUUGUAUGGGGGUGGCUAUUAUAAGUUAUCAGAUGCUUUAUUCCUUGGCUUUGAGCCAAGUGGGGGAGUCUGCUAUCGACGGGGUGAUUGCAUGGUUAUGUGUUGUAUUGGUUUCGGGUUUGUGGUAUACUUGUGAAUAAAUUAUGAUUUGCAGAGGUGGAGAUCGAGGAUGACUCGAGUAAAGAAAUUUCUGGAUAUGGGUUGUAUUAUGUUUUGUGGGUAUAUGGGAAACAUUGUAAAGGAUAUAGUGUGCAUGAAGUAGGGGUUCACUCGGUUGCUUCGGAGCAUGGAUUACUUCCUUGGGUGUUGUUGUACUAAUGGGGCACAAGUCGUUUGGUUCGCUUGGUUGGUUUAAUUGAGAUCUGAGUAGAGUGGAAGACUCUCAACAAUAGUUCUAAUGGAUGCAAGAUUUAAAUGUAGCAGUUGGGAACUUUUAGGAUUUGUAUAUGGUUAGAAACUGAGAUCUUCAUUAGAGAGUGUCGGGACUCUCGAUAUUUCUAUAUCCUUAUGGAUUCUACAUUUCAGUAUCAGGAAGGUAAAAGAACAACUUGAAAUUCGUAGGAGGUCUCUUCGGAGUGAGUAUCUCAGUUGUGGUAUUUUUGGGGUGCUUAAGAGAGCAUUCAACAGCUUAUGAGCCUUAGGGCGGUGUGUUUUUAUGCUAGGGUCUAGUGUGGUGAGUUUUGGUUGAGGAUUGUGGUAUUAUGGCAAGGAGAGGUAUCAAUUUGAAGGUAAUUCGAGAGGAACUCGGAGAAUUUGGACAACUUAGUAGUAGGUUAAAUCAGCACAAUAAUGGAUAAAAUCGGUUCCUUGGGUACUUAAGAUGUGGCUAGUCUCUACAGGUGUUUCGUGGUAAUGCUCUUCGGUUUUUGGUGACAUGCGUGGCUUGGUUGAGUUAGAGAUAUUUAGUUUUGAUGGCUUGAUUAUGGGAAAAUGGGUUUCGAAGUGUUCUCAAUUAUUCCUACCAUAGUUCAAAGAGUAUAUUUCCUACGGGCGUGAGGAGCAUGUGAUGUAUAGUGAUUUUCUCCGGAUGGAAUCAAAUGAAAAGUUCUUAGCUAAUUGAGUAUGUAGUUGCUUGUGACUUGGAGUGGAUUACGAAGUUCUCGUAUAUUUUUCAUAUGAUGUCAUGGUAUAUGCGGUGUAUUGUGUAGGAUUGAGAUUUGCAUGUGUAAGGUCACAGUUCAAAUUUGAAGGGAAUGACAUGAAUUCUUAGGCAGUAUGGACGAUCUCAGAUGGCUAGAUAAAUGAUAUUACUAUUAGAUAUGGCUUGAUGAGAGUGUAAGUUUCAGAAGGGGCACUGUGUUUCGAUUUAUGGAUACUUCAUUCAUAUUGCAACACUCUCUUGGUUGAUCGACUGCUGAUGUUCAAAUUUUACUUUGUGGCACAGAAGAAUUUUAGAAGUAUUCCUCAUGGGAUGAUCGUGUAUUAGAGAUGUAUUAGAUAUUCGGGCGGUGGAGUUGGGAUCAGAUACGGUGAUUCAUGUGUGUUAUGGAUUUGGAGACUGGAGUUCUCAUAAGUAGAUUAUUUCGUGGUUGUAGACCGUGAAAAUGUGGCCAAAGCUAGUAAGAGGAUGGUAUGUGUUAUGGUUGUGUCAUUGUGGAUCCUCGGAGGGUUACUUAUCUAUUUUUGGGUGUCUAGAGCUAAUUCGGAGGUCCAUUGGUAGGCCCAAUUAGGAUGUGUAUUCUACACCGAGCCGGAUUAGUUGGCUCCAUACUGCUAUUGUUGCGGGAUGUGUCAUUCGGUUGUUGUUGAGCUUAUUCGUGUUCUGAAAUGAUCUGUGAGUUACUCUUUCAUGCCAUGAGGGGUUGUGAUUCGUUGGUUAUAUGCACACAUGGUGUGGUGCUAUUUGGUCUGUAUAGCGGAAUUUGAGCGAGAUAAGUAUUUGGGUAUUUUGUGAUUGAUUGCGCGUUGGCUAUAUUCUUUCCGGAUUGUGGAAUUGUGUUAUUUUCCCUCCGUGGUUAUGGUAAUGCACUUUUGAUACUUGAUAUUGAAUUUCGCAUGGUCAUUGAUUUUGAGAAGGGUGGCUCGAGGUAUAUAAUAUAGACUAACGUUUGGAUGGGGUCACACAUUGUAGCAGAGUUAUAUUGGGGUAUGAUCCUUUGUGUUAGGUUCGUGUGUUUUGGUUCUACGGUGUGUGAUGGAUUUUCAGCAUUUCGUUGGGGUAGUACUUGUUAAGCUUGCGGGACAGUUAUCUUGUUUGAGUUAUUUUUUAUGAUUUGACUACAUUUGGAUUGUUGCUUACUAGUGCGCGGAGUGCAUGGGUUGUGGCUUAAGAUUGUAUUGAAGUAGCAUGUCACUAGAGUGAUCAUGUUAGAUGAGAUGAGGUCAUCGUACCUAGAAUGGGUGCUAUCGGAUCUGAUUGCGGUAUAUUUGGUAGGAUAUUGUUGCUGAUCGGCUUAGAAAUUUGCUAUAGUUCCUAUAAAAGGAGAGGGAGUUCCACAACUGGUUGAUCUGACGAAUGGUUAUGAGUUUCUGCGUGUUUCUUUUAUCAUUAGCAGUGUACGAAGGUUUUAGAACAAGACUUUGUUUGAUAUGAGAAUUAUUACUGGUAUUGAGUUAUUUUGAGCAGCUAUUGUAAUUAGAUUCUAAUUAUCACUAUGAGUAUUUGAGUUAUGCGGUGUAUCAUGUGAUAACAUCUUGGGUUAUGACUACGGCUUGAUACAACUUGUUCAGACUUAUAUAGUGUGUAGAUGUAAGAUUCAGAUCUUAUGGAAAAUUCCGAAUGUUGGAAAUUUGGUUCUAAGGUUUAUAAACUAGGUUGAAUUAUGAAUUUUCAGUUAUGUUGUGUUAUCAGACUUAUAUGGUAUAGGGUGACGUGGGAUCACCCCUGGGUAUGUGCAUGUUAAAGUUACACGGCGAUUUGAUGGCUUUUGGAACAACUCUAGGCACGCUCGGUUGUUUGAGGGCAUGAGUAGCUAUAUAUAAUGUAUUAUUACUUAUGUGAAUCGUCGGUUUUGAUUUUUAGGUUAUUCAAAAUUGAUUUAGAAGAAUGAUUCUCAGCUAGAAGCUUUAAAUUUGAAAGGUUUGACCAAGUUUGACUUUUUAGUAUUUUGACCUCGGAUUGAAAUUUUGAUGGUUCCAUUAACUCCAUUGGGUAGUUUUGGACUUAGGAGCGCGUACAGAUUGUGAUUUGGAGGUCCGUAGUAGAAUUUGGCUUGAAGUGGCGAAAGCUAAAAUAUUGGAAAGUUUGUCCAGGAGUGGACUUUUUGAUAUCAGGAUCGGAUUCCGAUUCCGAAAGUUGGAGCAGGUCCAUGAUGUCAAAUGUGACUUAUGUGCAAAAUUUGAAGUUAAUCGGACGUGAUUUAAUAGGUUUCAGUAUCAGAUGUGGAAGUUUGAAGUUUCAAGUUCAUUGAUUUUUGAAUUUAGGUGUGAUUCGUCGUUUCGAUAUUGUUAUGUGUAUUUUGAGGCCUCGAGUAGGUCCGUGUUAUGUUAUGGGACUUGUUGGUAUGUUUGGACAGGGUCCCGGGGGGCUCGGGCGUGUUUCGGAUUGAUUUCGGAGCAUUUUGGAAAUUUUUGGUUAAGGCUUGUUGCUGCUGGUUCUGGUGUGACUGCACAUGCGGCUAGUUUUCGUAGGUGCGAUGGUCGUAGAAGUGACAGUGGAGCCGUAGAAGCGGCGAGUGGCGCAGAAGCGAAGGUUGUUGGUGCACCUACGCGUGUGCAGAGGCGGAAAAUAUCCGCAGCUGCGGAAGGGUCGGUCUUCAUGGGCUUCGCAGAUGCGAGAUUCCAUUCACAGAAGCGGAGGUCGCAGAUGCGACAUUUUAACCGCAAAUACGGAAUCGCUAGGCAGAAUGUUAUAAGUUCGAGGGUUGGUUAUUUUUAUCACAUAUUGAGCUAUGGACUUCGGAAUGGAGCAAUAUUUGGAGCAAAUUUCAUUGCAAGGAUUGGGGUAAGUGUUCGCUGCUCGGGUUUGGUUAUAUUUCGUGAAUUUAUCUUCAAUUUUAGCUUUUGGUUGAUGAAUUUUAAAGAGGAGAUUGAGGGUUUUGGCCUAAAGUUUCAUAAUAUGAAUUUUUGAGUUUUGAACAUCGAAUUGGAGUCGGAAUUGAGUGAAACUAGUAUGGUUGGACUCGUAAUUAAAUGGGUUGUCGGAUUUUGUGAGUUUUGUCGGGUUCCGAGGUGCGGGCCCGGGUGUGAUUUUUGACCGGAUUUGGGAUUUGAUUUAGGAUUCGAUUUUUAUAAUUUGAAAAUGUUUCCUUGGACUUUAUUUGAUGUAUUUGAGUUGCUUUUGGCUAGUUUUGAGCCGUUCGGAGGUCACUACGCACGUGAUGACAUUUUUGGAGCAUCGCUUGGCUUGAUCGGUAUUGGAAUUGGCUUGUUCGAGGUAAGUAACUUUUCUAAACUUAGUGCUGAGGGUAUGAAACCCUGAAUUACGUGCUAUGUGAUUGAUGUUGAGGUGACGCACAUGCUAGGUGACGGGCGUGUGGGUGUGCAACCUGUGAAUUGUGAUUCUGUUUUUUCAUAGCACUGUUUAGUGGCCCUAUUUUGUUGAUAUAUGUAUUUUUACCAUGUGAUUAAGUAACUGAGCUGUCAAUCAUGCUAGAUAUCAUGUUUAGGUUUUAUGAUGAUAUUGUUAGGACACAUAGUGGUCGUUUCUUACUGUCAUCUCAUUGACUUUAUUGAUAUUUCGUACUCAGUCAUAUUCAUGCAUUCAUAUCAUAUCUCUGUCUCAGUUGUUGCUUAUUGAUACAUCAUAUCAUUGUUGUCGGGCUAGUUUUAUGACAUUGUGAGCCCGUGAGUGAGAAUGGAGAGAUUGAUGACUGAGAGCCUGAUUAUGAGUGACAACUAUGGGAUCGGGCUGCACGCCGCAGCAUGUUAUAUUGAUUUAUGCCUGGAUCUGGCUUAUGAUAGCGCUUGGGUUGUAGGAGCCCCUCCAGAGUCUGUACACACCCCCAGUGAGCGCGGUUGAUUAUAUUGAGGGAUGGAUCUUCCCUGGACAUGGAUCUUGCCCGAAGCAUUUAUAUACCUGGAGAUGGAUCUUCUCCUUGGUGCCGGAUUGGCCUUCCUCGGUACUGAGUGACUGAUGAUCAGUGAUGUAUAUAUUCGGGGAUGGAUCUUCCCUGGGUUGUAUGGGCCAUAUACAGUACCGAGUGGUUGAGCAUUGAUGAGUGGAAAGUCUGAAACAGUGAGAUUGAGUACUCUGAGAGUGUGAGUACAUGAUUCAUCUCUGAGAUACAUGGAAUUGGCAUGCACACAUUACAUACAUGCAUAGAGAUGCAUUUUUUCUCAUGUUGUACGAUAUCACGUGAUUCAUGACUUUUUACACACAUUGAUAUGUGGGCAUAGAGAGGUAUUUUACACUUGCUAUCUAGAAAGAAAAUGAAACAUCUUAUUUAUUGUGGAAAUGAUUUUUGGGAAAAUUUUCAAUUUUCAAACUAUCUCAUAUUUUUCGACGAUUUCGUUAAAGGAUUGGAUUUUCACUUAUAUUCUUGAAAAGUGAAACUAUUUUUGGAAAACUGUGGAAAAGCUGAACAUUUUACCUCUAAAUUACUUCCUUAUUUAUAUGCUCUAUGUUGUUGUAUACGGCGAAAUAAGAGGGCCUAAUUUCUUGCUAUCGAGUUACUUCAGAAGGACACCUCGAGACCCCGAGGACGCGAAGCUGUGACCGAGUUCCCUCCAUCGGAGCUCGUCGAGGUCCGACUUAAAGAGGAUACAUAUCGAGGCUAGAGUAAAAUAGGAUGUUCCCAAGGCACACGGCUGAGUCUAACAAAGCCGACCUACCUGGAGCCUGUAUCAAGGUGUCACGUCUAGCCGUCCCAUCUCCAUGCCUUUACAAUUAAUACAUUUUGUACUAUAAUGGGAUUCCCCUCCUAUAUAAAGGGGAUCCUCAUGACUUUGUAAAGGGUUGCUGUUGCUCCAACCAUUCUACAUAGGAUCAAUAACAUCUCUCUCUCUCUCUCUCCCUCUUUUCUCUCUAACGUAUUUUCUCGAUGUUAUUGCUUACCACUUUCAUAUUUGUUCUUCAUUCAUUGCUUGUUAUUGGCCAUAUAGAGCUUCCCUUGAUUAUACUCUAAUUGUUAGCUCCUUCCCGGUUACCCCCGAUAGCUCAAGCCCGAGCCCAGGCAUCGACCUCGAGGCCCUUUAUCGGUUAGCCCGAGGCCCGGACAGCUAACUCAUCGGUUUGAUCGUAACACUGUUUUAGCUCGCAUUUCACCUUUAUCUUCACAUAUCUAGCAUCCACUGCUCUAAACAACUAGCAUAAAAAUAGAUCACGUAUUUUUAGAGUCCCAUCAACAAAUUUAAUUAUUAUUACCAUUUUCAUGGUAAACAGUUUGGCGCCCACCGUGGGGCUAAAAAUAAUAGUGAUUAUUUUCUUGCUGGUUUCGUUACACAACACAAGUUAUCUUUCACACUUUUUCUUGUCCAAGAUCUUCGAUUUCAGGUCAAAAUAUCUGGCUCGGUAAACAGAGUUGAGAAUGACAACCUUGAAAACCACGGAGAAAACAGUGUGGCUGCUCCAAUUGUUGGCGCGCUACCACAGAACCCCGAUAAUGCACUCGGACCUAUUCCAGCGGACGCGGAUUUGCAAGACGCGUAACAGGUCGACGAAACCUCACACAAAGACAGGAGAAUACAACAUGGAGACCAAUAGGAAGCCCAAAAAACCCCGGUGCGGGAAGAACAAGAAGUUAGUCUUCAAGUUAUUUUUGAAAUAUUGCAGGCACAACAGUUUGCUAUUUUUCAGUUGCAAAGCCACCCGAAGACUCCCAACACAGUAGCACCGGAAACUACUCCCCCAGUUGAACAGGUACCGGAGAGAUCGAGCAACAACGGAUCGAUAGCUGACCCUGCCAUCGUGAAAAUGCUCGAGGACCUUACCAAAAGGAUCUAAUCAGGCGAGAAAAUGAUAGUAGCCAACGAUAAGAAGGUCGAGACCUACAACUCCAGGGUUGACCAAAUCCUGGGCGCACCCCCGGUCCUGAAGGGUAUAGAUUCGAAGAAGUUCGUGCAACGGCCGUUCCCAGAGGAAGUAGCUCCGAAACCCAUUCCAAAGAAGUUCAGAAUGCCGAAACACCCAAAAUACAAUGUGACCUCAGAUUCCGACGAACAUGUCACUGCCUACAUGUGCGCGGUAAAGGGCAAUGACAUAGGAGACGACGAGAUCGAGUCCGUCUCACUGAAGAAGUUCGGAGAAACGCUCUCAAAGGGGGCCAUGGUGUGGCAUCACAACCUAGCUCUCAACUCCAUAGAUUCAUUUGCCAUUGGCAGAUUCCUUCAUAAAGGCACACGCUGGUGCCAUCAAAGUAGCAACAAGAAAGUCUGACGUAUUCAAGAUUAAGCAAAGGGAGAAUGAAAUACUGCGAGAAUUCGUAUCUUGUUUCCAGACGGAACGAACAGAACUACCCCCGGUCUCCGACGACUGGGAGGUGCAGGCCUUCACUCAAGGCCUGAAUGAAUGAAGCUCGGUGGCUUCAGGACAGUUGAAACAGAACUUGAUCGAGUAUCUAGCUACGACCUAGUCAGACGUCCACAACCGGUACUUGUCGAAAAUCAGGGUCGAGGAUAAUCAGUUGGGAGCCCCCUCGGGCUCAGUAUAUCCGAGCAGACUCCUGGCAAAGGAACCGAAACCAAACAAAGAAAGAUACCAGCAAUACAUCAAAGAUAGGAGGAAUGCCCCGUGGCACAACCUACCUCUCAACGGUCAGAGAAUGGAUCAAGGAAAAUAUCCUCGAGGGCUCAUCAACAGAGCCAAAAUCGACGGAGACACGAGGCCAACGGGGGAACCUCACCUAUCAAGAUACAACUUCAACGUUGCUGCAUCGGACAUCGCGUCCACCGUCAGCAAAACUAGGGACAUCAUAUGGCCCAGGCCUAUUCAGUCGGAUCCUUCCUAGAGGAGUCACCACUUGGUAUGUGAGCUCCAUAAUAUGCACAGCCAUAGGACCCAAGAUUGCCACCAGCACCGAAAGGAAAUGGCCAAGCUACUUAGUAAAAGUUGCCGCCGAGAACUUUUGAGUGAUCGGGCUCAAGUUCAGCUCCGAGAAAGAAAGGCAGCCAAGAAGAGAGAAUCAAAUGGGCCACAACACGUUAUCAUGGUAUUGGAAGGGCGUCGACAUGCCCCGGGAACUUGUGAAGAGGAGGACAAAAAUAUCCAUCGCCGAAGAAAGACGAACCUGGGGAUACGUACCUGAAGGUGCCCUCACAUUCAGCAGGGAAGGCUCCGAAACCUCGCCUCAACUUCAUAACAACGCACUGGUAACCUCUUUCCUCAUUCAUCCAUUUCGAAUAAAACGUGCGCUUGUGAAUCCAGGUAGCUCGACCAACAUUAUCGGGUUGAGAGUGAUAGAGUAGCUCAGACUGCUAGACCAAAUCAUGCCCACCUCUCGAAUCCUUGAUGGAUUUAACACGGCGAUCGAAACAACGAAAGGAGAGACCAUUCUCUCAGCCGGCACAACCGGCGCAGACCGGAAUGCCAAAUUCCAUGACAUCAAAGGAGACGCGAGGCAUAAACACCUAAUUAUUCAGAUGGUCGCGGAUGCACCAUAUGAGAGCGGUACCAUCCCCCCUUCACCAAAUGAUGGAAUCCCCAGCAAAGGGUGGAAUUAAAACCGUCUACGUGGAACAACACUCAUCAAGGGAAGUGUUCGCAAUACGUAAUGUAGCGUCGACACCAAUAUCUCCACUCUCGGAAGGGUCAAAGGAUAAUCAAACUACGUCUUCAGCUAAGACUGAUUAAACACAGCGGAGGACCGUAUCGAGUCCUCGCUCCCAACAAUAGGGACACAUCAGGCCUCGAAACAUUGCCUUCGUACCCCACGAUAAGGUAAGACCACCUCCUUCUUUCAUUAUUUUACACUAACCCAUGUGCAGACACCCGGUCGGGGCGGUCGGAUAUACUGACCCAACCCGAAGAUCUCAAGGCCUUAACGGUAUCCAUUGCAUUCUUUUCCUUGGGCUGAGCUUUUGUCCCAAAAAGGGUUUCACCAGCAAAGUUUUUAACGAGGCAACGUACACGCACCACCUAAGGAGGAUCCGACAAGCUUGCAGGGCUUCUUUUGCAAUCAACCUUGAACACUGGGGGUGUUCGGGGCACCCCUUUGAGAGACCAUCCGCUCAGAAGAACCAGGAAACGAUGAACAAAGUUCCAAUAGAAAAUAACGUACCGGGCCAAACGGUCAAAUGAACCGUGUCCGCAUAAGCCGGGCUCGCGGCAACAAAACAACAUGUACUUAUGCCAAACAAUCAAAGAAUAUCUUUCGCCAAAGCAUCUCGUACUCCAAAGAAAAUCCAACAUCCUCACAGCAAGGAUCCCUUCACCGAGAACGCCCCGAGAUACUCGAAGAAUAGCGUCAAUAAUUCGGCAAGGAAAUAGCGGAAUGUCUCCAAAAGAGAAGAUGCCCCGAACACUUGGAGACUGGCAUCACAAACUCAGAAAACACAUGACCCCAGGUUCGGAAUCUCCGAAAAAACGUAAGCCCUCAUUGAGGCAAUUCCAAGCUACCUCUGAGCCUAAACAAACUCGAUGACUCGGAGACUGUCGCCAAUCGCUAUUCACUUAAAAACCCGAUGCCAUAAGGCCCCAAGAGGGCAGACUCGAUCUAGCAAGGCCUGUUUGAUGGGGCAAUGAAAAAACUAUAAGACCUCNNNNNNNNNNNNNNNNNNNNNNNNNNNNNNNNNNNNNNNNNNNNNNNNNNNNNNNNNNNNNNNNNNNNNNNNNNNNNNNNNNNNNNNNNNNNNNNNNNNNNNNNNNNNNNNNNNNNNNNNNNNNNNNNNNNNNNNNNNNNNNNNNNNNNNNNNNNNNNNNNNNNNNNNNNNNNNNNNNNNNNNNNNNNNNNNNNNNNNNNNNNNNNNNNNNNNNNNNNNNNNNNNNNNNNNNNNNNNNNNNNNNNNNNNNNNNNNNNNNNNNNNNNNNNNNNNNNNNNNNNNNNNNNNNNNNNNNNNNNNNNNNNNNNNNNNNNNNNNNNNNNNNNNNNNNNNNNNNNNNNNNNNNNNNNNNNNNNNNNNNNNNNNNNNNNNNNNNNNNNNNNNNNNNNNNNNNNNNNNNNNNNNNNNNNNNNNNNNNNNNNNNNNNNNNNNNNNNNNNNNNNNNNNNNNNNNNNNNNNNNNNNNNNNNNNNNNNNNNNNNNNNNNNNNNNNNNNNNNNNNNNNNNNNNNNNNNNNNNNNNNNNNNNNNNNNNNNNNNNNNNNNNNNNNNNNNNNNNNNNNNNNNNNNNNNNNNNNNNNNNNNNNNNNNNNNNNNNNNNNNNNNNNNNNNNNNNNNNNNNNNNNNNNNNNNNNNNNNNNNNNNNNNNNNNNNNNNNNNNNNNNNNNNNNNNNNNNNNNNNNNNNNNNNNNNNNNNNNNNNNNNNNNNNNNNNNNNNNNNNNNNNNNNNNNNNNNNNNNNNNNNNNNNNNNNNNNNNNNNNNNNNNNNNNNNNNNNNNNNNNNNNNNNNNNNNNNNNNNNNNNNNNNNNNNNNNNNNNNNNNNNNNNNNNNNNNNNNNNNNNNNNNNNNNNNNNNNNNNNNNNNNNNNNNNNNNNNNNNNNNNNNNNNNNNNNNNNNNNNNNNNNNNNNNNNNNNNNNNNNNNNNNNNNNNNNNNNNNNNNNNNNNNNNNNNNNNNNNNNNNNNNNNNNNNNNNNNNNNNNNNNNNNNNNNNAACAGACAUAAACAUAUUGUAAGACCUCAAUAGGCAUGAACAUACUGUAAGACCUCAACAGGCAUGAACAUACUGUAAGACCUCAACAUGCAUGAACAUAAUGUAAGACCUCAACAGGUAUGAACAUACUGUAAGACCUCAACAGGUAUGAAUAUACUGUAAGACCUCAAGCAAGGCAUGAAUCACACUUGUACCAAGUGUCAACAAAACUGUAAGUCCUCAACAGGCAUGAAAAUUUUGUAAGACCUUACUACAGGCAUAAACUCAAUCCCGAUGUUUAGGCUAUAUGUCGCAUUUGUAAGACUCCCGAAAGGGCAUACCCUCAAUAUAGACGCCUAAACUACUACACUCGGGAUCAAAAAUGGCUCCGACCAAACACAAAUGACUACGGUCAAUACAGCUGCACCAGCCAAAUUAACGCGACUCGAGGACACCCGACCGUCGCUAUAAAAUCACAGGCCAUUACUUCAAAAAGAACCAGUUAAACAGGAUACCCUCGACAGGCAAAUGAGCUUCGACCAUGUCAGCUCCAAAUCACAGGGCUUCGAGCUACUCAGCCUAUGAGCUAAACCUUCCAAGGUGCUCGAACAUCGACGCAAACGACUUGAAAUCGAGGUUCUUCCCGAACCGACGACGGGUCAGGCAAAAUCAUUUCAAAAAGUCCUUAACGAUAGGAAAACAAAUCCUACAAAUGCCUAAGGGCAAAGCGUAAGAGCCAUUGCCGCUAGCCUAAUGAGCCUCAGGGCCACACACACUAAACGAUCGCAACAACCAGAAGCGUAAGAGCCACUGUCGCCAACUUAAAAAUUUGAAGGCUUGAGGGUCAAAGUGAGCUCGAGUCGCAACCCGAUUCGGAGACCGGACCCAAAAUAGUUAACUAUACAUGCCCAGGGUCAAAGCAUAAGAGCCAUUAUCGCCAGCAUCAUGAGCCUCAGGGCUACGCACAUAAAAGGUCACUUCGACCCAAGGCAUAAGAGCUGUUGUCGCUAGCCCACACAAAUAUUGUACUUAAGGGUCAAUUGUGCUCGAGUCAAAACCCGACUCGGAGAUUGAACAUAAAAUAGUUAAAAUACAAAUGCCCAAGGGCAAGGCGUAAGAGCCCCCGGGCCUGCCUGAUGAGCCCCAGAGCCGUAUUAACGAAUCUAAGGAUUCUCACCAACUCCGAAACCAGUCCACCUGGUCAAAGGCAAAGUAGAAAGGGGUACAUAAGCAAUGAAGCUUCAAGUUCUCUCCUAUUUACAUACAUGAAAAAGUGCAUCCUCUAUCUACAAAUGCGCCCUGGAAAUAUCGCAUACAAGAUGGCAAAGUCUACGCCCCGCCCCUAAGGGCUACGACCUAUCAACCUCAUCUUUGCUCUCCUCAGUGCUGGACAGGAGUAACCGAGCUUCAUGCUCGUCCGCCCUCGCUCGCGCCAGCUCUUCCGGGAGAACAAAACCCCUGGCGUCGAUCUCCUCAAGAACCCUUCUUUGGGAUCUACAACGAACAUAUUCCUCGAUCCUCUCUUUAUGAUCGAGGACCUUCUUCAACUCGGCUUUGGCAUCGGUAGCAUCCUUCAUAGGAAUUGCCAUCUCCUGAUCGACCUUAGUCCAACUCAAUUCUGCUUCAGCCCGAGCAUCAACGAUCUCAGCCCUGACCUUCGAAAGCUCGGACUCGAGCUUCGUGGUCAUAUCCACUUAAACUGAAGCGUUGUCGCGAUCCAAGGGGAGUUGGGCCUCGAAGGUAGGAACUUUAUCCAAGGCACCCUUCUCCUCUGAAGCUUGAGCCUGCACCUAAGCUCUUAGCUAGCCAUAGUCAUUCCUAACUCGGUCGGCUUUACCCCUAAGGCGCUCCAGAGCCUCCGUCUUUUUCUGCAACUGGGAUAGGCAAAAAAUUAACCCAAAAGGUUAAAAAGCAAAACGCAUACCACGAGAAAUUACCUGCUCCAUCAAAUAGCUCUCGUAAUUCGAGCUCCGGUACGCCUCAUAUCGCCAGUGUGUCAACUCAACUUUCUUCUCCUCGCAAAGGAGCCUAAGGGACCUACCCUCAUCCAGAGCUUUUUGAAGCCUAGCCCCAUGAUGGAGCAGCUUAGACUUAAGCCUAUCAAAGGCCUGCAGAAGAAAAAAUCGAUAAGGAAGGGAAGACGCGAGAUGCGGAAGGCCUGUGCCAAAACUCACCGCAAAGUGAAGCCGACAGACUUCCUCGAAGGCCGAGCACACUUCUGUUGAUCCAGCCCCCUCGGCCCUGGAAGAACCAACCUCGGUCGAAGCAUGAUCACUUAGAGAAACCACCUCUCCAGAGCCAGAGAUUUUGGGUACAGCAGGCUCGGGCGAUGUUUUCUCCUCAAAGACUCGGCCCCAUUUCGUCCUGCUGUGAGCUCCAUCGCACUGCAAAUGCAUAUUCCAAUUAUCAUUAUCGUCCUUCAGCUCAGAAGCUGGCAACUCCACUCCCUCUCCGGAGGAGCACAACCUCACCCUUGGAGACCCUCCAAUACCUACGACGACAAGAUUAUUACAUGAAAAGGGGGGAAAAUAUCUUCCCAAAUGUACGAAGGAUAAGGUAAAAACAGCGUAUGCACGUACCGUGGUAUUUAGCUUCCCAUCUGCCCCGAGAUACAACUCGCCACCUAUGCUCAUCACAAGUCGAAUGGGUCACCAGCUUCCGGACCCAGCCGGGCAAACAUGAACUUCGCUCGGCGCCCAUGAAAUUUUUGCAAAAAAGAAGGAAACACGAUUACUAAACUAGCUUUCACCAUGAGCGAAUCUGAGCAAGCAUGAGAUGCUCCACUCACGCGUGUAAUUCCAUUCCUCGGGGAAUGGCAUAAGUUCUGUAGGGAUAACGUCAGUCGUCCGAACCCGGACGAAUUGACUAAUCCACUCUCGAUCUCCAUCUUCCUCAUCAUCAAUAACAAAGGGCGUGGACGAACGACACCGCAAGGUUAGCAGGCCUCGAUGAUGAAAGGGCCGGUACAGUCUGACGAGGUGACUGAGAAUGAAUUCAAGCCUUGCUUUCUCUACAAAGAACCUCAUCAUCAACACUAUUCGCCAAAACGAUGGAUGUAUCUUUGCCAAAGUAACCCGGUACUUUAAACAUAAAUCGAGCACGACCCUAUCAAGGGGGCCUAGUGCGAAAGGGUACAAGUACACAUUCAGGAAUCCAUCGGCGAGGUCCGUGAUACCCUCAUCUGGGGGAAGCGCCUGCAAUGCGACCCCCUCGCCCCAUCCACAGUCUCUCCUCACUAGCUCCAUAUGCUCCUCUCUUAUCGAAGACAUAGUCUUUAGAGUAAACUCCCGUGGAUCCUGAGCACUGGGAGUGGAACUCUCCCCUCUCCGUCGGGCAAACCCUGAAGUGGAAGUCAUGGCUAUGGUGGAACUAGCAAACUGAAGCGGGAACCUAUACAAACACUUUAGCGCUAAGGUAACAAAGGACUCGAUGCCAAAACGGGAGGAUAACUAUCUAAAAUAAUGAGAUAUUCUAAGAAGCGGGAGCAACCCCAAAUAUAUGUGGGGAAACAGCAAUGAUUCGCCUACCCGAGUUAGGCCCCGAGAGACCAACGGCUUUGGUACGGGUUAAAAGGUCGAGUACCCGACCUCGAGGUUUCCUCUCAAGGAGAAAAACAAGCACUUCGAGCUCCUUCAAUGAGGGCUCGACCUCAGGAAGUCGCCUAAAUAUAAGUAACCCCUCCUCAAAGACCUGCCUACAAUGCCAUAAAAGGUUAUUCGCAUCAAGUUAAAAGUAAAUCUCCGAGUACCCGAAGCUGACUUUCACUCAGAGGCCGCUCUCAAAAUUUCAAGGUUCGGUGCUCUAUCUCCAUGAGGCUCGAGGGCCCUGAUGACCCGAGUUUAUCGGACCGCUUCAGGCUUGACCCGAGGAACAACGAUGAGCUUGAAAAGGAGCCAUUUCUAUCAACUGGAGACUAGAAAGAAUGCUCGCACCCGAGUUGAAUAUUGACAAUCGUCAACAGAGACAUACAUUCAAAAUCCUCACAAAUGCACAAGAAUAUACAAGAAUAUGGCAAAUAUCAAAAGUAGAAGUAAAAAAGAUGUCCUUUUAUUUCAUAAAUAUUGGCUUACAAUGGCCUCGAGGGGUCCUUACAUACAAAUUACAAAAGCCCGCAAGGGGUCCUUACAAAGAAAUAAAGGGGUAUACACCCAUAGUGAAAACCUAAGAAGCUAGUCCAUCCUCGAAGGUUCAUCUCCGGUAUCAGCAUCCCCGAGCGUCGCCUCCUCGAACUCGCAUCCUCGAAGGCAACUUCUUCGAUCGCCAUCUCCUCUAGGUUCCCAGCUCAAUCCCGCAAAAAGUCCUCGCCGAUGGAGAAGAUGAAGAACAGGAAAAGGGGGGAUGCAGAAGAGGCAGAGAAAAGAGACAUAGCCCGUCGAAGCCAAAGGUUGAAGAUUCGGCGGGCCCCUGCCUCAAUGGCCAGUUGUGCCAUUUUAUCCCUUGGGAAAGAAAAACCUAAGGGAUGAAGUGCCACACCAGGCCAGGGUAGGAGAGUGGGUAGUGGUGUAUAGUCCGAAUAACUUUCUAAAAAAGGGGAAAGUCGAUUCCUCAUCUAUCGUCAUCUCGAGCCAAUAAGGACAGUAGUAACAAUCACAAAAACAACGACAGCGAUGGUAAGACUUUAUAAUCCCGCUCGACAAAGGGAAGCUCAUGCAAAAGGCCACAACAUAGCCUAUGGGAAUGCUGCCAAACAACCUUAAGGCCGUGAACUCCGAACAUGGUGAUCAACAAUAGAGGAAGAUGGCGAGGAGAAAAGGAUGAAUGAUCAAAUGAAGACACUUGGAUAGAAAAAUAAUGCCAGAACGCUCCCAUUUAUAGGGGGUAAUAACAUGACCAUCAAUGCCUUUGGAAGACUGACCAAUGGGCGCAAUUACUGCAUUCUGGAAGAACUGAAUCGAUGGCGGUACUGCCACAUUGAAGAACAGGAAUCGACAGCGCAUUGAAUGGCGUCGAAAAGACAAGCCCAUGAAAUGUCCCACUUGUUGUGAAAAUUCAAACCAUAGAUUGCAUCAUCGAUAUGACAUCAUCACGGGGAGCCCGAGGAGUCGGGCAUCAUAAUCGUUUCCCAUCACUUCGUUCUGAGACACGCGGGACUUAUCUGUGUACGGUGAAAUCAUAGGGCCUAAUUUCUUGCUAUCAAAUUACUUCAGAAGGACACCUUGAGACCCCGAGGAUGCGAAGCUGUGACCGAGUUCCCUCCCUCGGAGCUUGUCGAGGUCCAACUUAAAGAGGAUACAGAUCGAGGCUAGAGUAAAAUAGGGGGUUCCCAAGGCACACGGCUGAGUCUGACAAAGCCGACCUACACAGAGCCUGUAUCAAGGUGUCACGUCUAGCCGUCCCAUCUCCAUGCCUUUACAAUUAAUACAUUUUGUACUAUAAUGGGAUUCCCCCUCCAAUAUAAAGGGGCUCUUCAUCACUUUGUAAAGGGCUGCUGUUGCUCCAACCAUUCCACANNNNNNNNNNNNNNNNNNNNNNNNNAUUUUGUACUAUAAUGGGAUUCCCCUCCAAUAUAAAGGGGCUCUUCAUCACUUUGUAAAGGGCUGCUGUUGCUCCAACCAUUCCACAUAGGAUCAAUAACAUCUCUCUCUCCCCCUCUUUUCUCUCUAACGUAUUUUCUCGACGCUGUUGCUUACCACUUUCAUAUUUAUUCUUCAUUCAUUGCUUGUUAUUGUCCAUAUAGAGCUUCCCUUGAUUAUACUCUAACUGUUAGCCCCUUCCUGGUUACCCCUGAUAGCUCGAGCCCGAGCCCAGGCAUCGACCUCGAGACCCUUCAUCGGUUAGCCCGAGACCCGGACAACUAACUCAUCGGUUUGAUCAUAAUGCUGUUUUAGCUUGCAUUUCACCUUUAUCUUCACAUAUCUAGCAUCCACUACUCUAAACAACUAGCUUAAAAAUAGAUCACGUAUUUUUAGAGUCCCAUCAAUAAAUUUAAUUAUUUUUACCAUUUUCACGGUAAAUAGUUAUUAUGAAUUGUUGUUGGCUACUGGUGUUGGACCCGACCAUGUUCCAGCUCAUCACUACUUUCAUCCUAAGGUUAGGUUUGUUACUUACCAGUACAUGGGGUCGAUUGUACUGAUACUACAUAUCUACACAUUGCAUGUAGAUGUUGGCUGCUGUGGUUGUUGUGUUCGAUGGGAGCUAGAUUUGAAGAUGUACAUGCGUUCCGGUUGUAGCUACCUCUUGUUCAUGGUAGCCGUAGAUUUAUAAAAGCUCUGUUUAUGUACUUUUCAAACAGAAGAUGUAUUUACUUCAUAUCAGCUUUGUAAAUUCUAUUCUUAGAAGCUCAUGAUUUGUACUACCAGUCAUUGGAAAAGUGUAUAAGAUUUAGAUAAUUCUCUUAUUUAAAUUGCCUUAUUAAAUAUUAUGGGAAUUGGAUAAUAUAGUUGGCUUACCUAGCGGGUUGGGUUAGGUUCCAUCACGAAUAAUAAAUUUUGGGUCGUAACAUAUGAUGACUCAUCACAUGGCUACAGUAACUCUCAUAGGAGAGGUCUCCUUGAUCAUACACCCCAUUUUCUUGGCAAUGAUCUCUAUGUCUAAAAAACUGUGGGUACUACUUGAAUCUAACAAGAUAGACAUGUUGUUAUUUUUGGAUUCUCCUCUUAGCUUAAUGGUAUUAGGAACUUCAGUACCUUAUAAGGCAUUAAGGCUGAUUGCCUCAUCAAUUACCUCUUCCUCUUGUAGGUCAAAGGUUGUUUCUUCACACCGUGCAUCCCCUGGCUCUUCUGCAUUUUGAUCAGUGGUUGCAGAGAUGGCAUUUAGCUGUCAUUGUUUGCAUUGGUGCCUUGAAUGAUAUUUAUUUCCACACUUGUAGCAUAGUCCUUGGGCUCUCCUGCUUUCAAACAAUUUAUUUCCUUGAUUACCCAAUGAACCAUUAGGAAAUCUAGUGGCCUAAGAUAAGUAGCCUAUAACUAGUCCUUUAUUCCUUUGCAACCUUUCUUUCUUGUUCAAAGAUUCCAACAAAUUCUCCUGAAGCCUAGCCUUCUUCACAACCUUACUAAAGGAAUAUGGAUCCAACAUUUUCAUUGAAUGCCUAAUCUCUUCCUUCAACCCUUCAAUGAAGAAUUUUAGGAAGAAUUCUUCCGGAAUUGUAAGGUUUCUAAUUAACGCCCAGGCCUUCAACUCUUCUAAUUCCUCUAAGUAUUCGCUAACAGUUCCUUUUUGUUCUACAUUUUUUAAUUCAUCAAUGAGGUUCAAUUUACUGUUAGCUGCACCUUCAAAUCUAUUACAGAUUUCUAUAGUAAAAUCUGUCCAUCUAACUAUUUAUUUUCUAAUAUGGUAGGAGAAGAACCAAGAUUCAGCCUUACCAUUAAGGUGAAGAACAGCUUCUUCCCAUUUCUGCUCUGGGUCUGUGAUGUGGUUGUACUGAAAAUACCUCCCACAUCUGUGCAACUAGGCACAUGGAUCCAUGCCUUCAAAAUAUGGAAUUUCCCACCUUGAAUGAGAAGAGUUCCUUUAUGAUUGGCCCAAAGAAGAAUCACCAUUUUCCCCCAAUCGAUGUCUACUGCCAGACCCCAUGAUUUGCAGACCUUCAGUCGGCGCACUACCCAGGAUUCCUCCUUGUUGGGGAAUGAGUUUCUCUAUUAGCAUGCCAAUAUGUUUACCUAGAUAUUCAAUCUUCGAGUCGUUCGAUGACAUGUAAUUCUGCGAUUGUACUUCUAGUUUUUUGACUGACUCGUCAGUAGAUUUAGACCUUAUUUCUGCUCCUGUCAUCGUGAAUGUGGCCAGGAAAUAGAUCUGAUACCAAUUGUAAUGAACUUAUAAAAUUGAAAUGUAAACUAAGAAAUUGUCACGAAAAUGAAUGAACAAUGAACUUUUAUUAUUUCCUCUACUCAGUUACAAUAGGAAUUACAAAUUGAAUUGAAAUUAAUCUGCAACUCCAUUAAUGAAUUCACAACCUGAAAAAAUAUUAAGAUGAGUAAAAGAAGAAGAGAGGAGGGAGAUGAACGUGAGAGAGAAUAGUGAGAAGAGAAAGAAAGAAUUACUGGCCAAAACUAAUUCUGUUGGGCCCAAUCCAAAUCUGUUAAGAUAGCCCAAUCCCUUAAUGUAAUGACCCGAUCGGUUGUUUUGAGAAAUUGCACUUCGCUCGCCAGUACUCGGGCAUGACUAGACCCGUAUGAUGUAUUAUGACUUAUGUAAAUCGCCAGUUUUGGUUUUCAGGAUAAUCAGAAUAGAUAUGGAAGAAUGAUUCUCAACUUGAAGCUUUAAAUUUGAAAGGUUUGACCCAGUCUUGACUUUUUAGUAUUCGAUCUCGGAUUUGAAUUUUUAUGAUCUGGUUAGAUCCAUUGGGUGAUUUUAGACUUAUGAGCAUGUUCGGAAUGUAUUUUGGAGGUCUGUGGUAGAUUUAGGCUUGAAUUAGCGAAAUUGGAAAUUUGGUGUUUUCCGGUCGGUAGUGGAAAUCUUGAUAUCGAGGUCGGAAAGGAAUUCCAGAAAUUAGAGUAGGUCCGUAGUAUCAUUUGUGACGUGUGUGCAAAAUUUCAGGUCAUUCAGCUGAGGUUUAAUAGGUUUCGGCAUCGUAUGAGGAAUUCGGAAGUUUGGAAAUCCUUAGGCUUGAAUCCGAGGGUGAUUUGAUGUUUUGAUAUUGUUUUGAGUGUUUUGAAGGUUGGAAUAAGUUUGAAUGGUGAUAUGUAAUUUGUUGGUAUUAUUGGUUGAGGUCCCGAGGGCCUCGGGAUGAUUUUGGAUGGUUAACGGAGAGUCUGGAUGAGGAAUAAGGCAGCUGAAGUUGCUGCUUCUGAUGUUUCCGCACAUGCGGAGUUGGAAUCGCAGGUGUGAUGAUCACAGAUGCGGAAGAUGAAUCACGGAUGCGGGAUUUUGAAGAGCUGAGGCAGGAGGCACAGGUGCGGAUAGUGAAGCGCACCUGCAAGAUCGCAGGUGCAGUGUUGUGAUCGCAGAAGCGGUUUCUGAGGGCAUAAGUGGGAAUCGCACUUGCGAUGGAUAUUCCACAGGUAAGGCAUCGUAGAAGCGACAUUUUGACCACAGAUGCGGUACCUCUGGACAGAAAGUAUAAAUUGUGGACUUCGCGAAUUUUGGUUCAUUUUCCACCAUUUUUAGUCGGCUUUGAAGCUUUUGAGAGAGAUUUUGAGGAGGAAUUCAAAGGUUUAUAAGUAAGGUAAGCGACUUGAGCCCUAAUAAUCGUAUAUGUGAUGAUUUCGCGUUGUGUAAUCAUGGAAUUUGUGGAAAAAUUAGGGAUAAAAUUGGGGAAUUAGGGCUUGAAAUUGGAGAGUAUAAAUUAGGGAUUUGAUGGGUCAUUUGAGGUCCGAUAUUGGUAAAUUUGGUAUGUAUGGACUCGUGAGAGGAUGGGGAUUCUGGUUUUAUGAUUUUUAUCGGAUUCCAAGACAUGGGCCCGGGGGUCAGGUUUGACCAAUUUUGGGAUUUUUGAGUUUAUUUGAUUACUUUCACUUGGGCUUUGUUCCUUUAGCGUGUAUUAAUGAUAUAAUACUAAUUUUGGUUAGAUUUGGAGCAUUUGGAGGUUGAGUCAUGAGACAAAGGCAUCGCGGGUUAGAGUUCGAUCCGGUUUGAGGUAAGUAAUGAUUGUAAAUGUUCUCCUGAGGGUAUGAAACCCUGAAUUUCACAUUGUUCUACUACUUUGAGGUGACGCACAUGCUAGAUGACGAGCGUGGGGGCAUGCACCGUUGGGGAUUGUGACUUGGUCUGUCCCGUAUGACUAGUAAGUCGCGUAUUUGAUUGAAAACUAUUUGAUAAUAUUGUGUUUUAGAAAGUAUUACUAUGUUUUGGGCUGAAUGCUAUAUUUGGGCCUCGUGCCAAGCUGUUGGACCCUUAGGGGAUUUUGACUAUUAUUCCUCACUGUUUUAAUUUAAUAUCUAUACUCAGUCAUGCUAUUUUUUACUAACUUCAUAACUCAGUCUUUAUUCUCCGUGUUUGAUGCAUAAAAUGAUAUUUUAGGCUGAGCACCCUAUUUUACUGUUAGCCCGAGUGGCUUGAGAGAUUCCUGACUGAGUGAGGCUGAUGGGCUGUGUUGUGAGGAUAUUAUGGGAUCGGGUGGCACGCCGCAGUAGGUUGUUACUGAUUCAUGAUAUUGUGAGGCCGAGGGCCUAGAUUGAUUCAUGCCAAGAGAUGGCUUGUUUUUAUGAGGCCGAGGGCCUGAUUUAUUAUGCCACGAGAUGGCUUGUUAUAGAGCUUGAGUUGUAGGAGCCCCUCUAGGAGUCUGCACAUCCCCCAGUGAGCGUAGGUCUAGCACUUGGGCUAUAGGAGCCCAUCCGGAGUCUUACACCCCAGUGAGCGCGGGUACCCUGAGUGCGUGAUAUGUUGUUGCGCGAGGGGCUGUUCUUGAUUCAUGUUAUGCCCGAGGGGCUGCUGACGAGUGAUUGUGAGGUAUGCCCGCGGGGUUGUGUAUGAGUGGCAGUGAUGAUUUCCCGAGGGGCUAUUGAUGGCUUAUGUUGUUCGAGGGGCCGUUUAUGAUUUAUGUUGCCCGAGCGGCUGUAUACGAGUGAGUUUUUACCCGAGGGUCCGACUAUGUUUUCAUCAUUUCUACUCACUAUUUCAUCACUUGUUUGAAAACUGCUGAAAGAUGUUUUAAAUGGAUUUUUCACAUCUUCAAAUGAUUUUUACCGACAACUGGAUUUUUAACGAAAUAAUUUGAUUUACACACUGUUUUGGAAACACACUAUACUUAUUGUGGUGUUAUGACGUGGAUUAUGUGUUUUCUUACUGCUCAGUCUUUAUUUACUCUUAUUACUUACUGAGUUGGUGUACUCACAUUACUCCCUGAACCUUGUGUGCAGAUCCAGGAGUUGCGGUUGUGAUAGCGAGCGCUAAUCUUCAUCCAGCGGGUCUUUUGGAGUUGGCAAGGUAGCUGCAUGGCGUUCGCAGCCUUGCUCUUCUCCCUCUUAUCUUCCCUAGAUUAUAUUAGUAUUAUUCCCAGACUUUGAUAGACUACAUUGUAUUCAGACAGUUCCUAGUAGACGCUCGUGACUUGUGACACCCCGAUGUUGGGCUUGUGUUAUUUUUCGCACUUAUUAUUAGACUCAUGUUAUGGAAUUUUUAUCGAUUAAUAGCCUAAAA